UGGGGAAUAUUGCACAAUGGGCGCAAGCCUGAUGCAGCCAUGCCGCGUGUGUGAAGAAGGCCUUCGGGUUGUAAAGCACUUUCAGCGGGGAGGAAGGCGAUAAGGUUAAUAACCUCAUCGAUUGACGUUACCCGCAGAAGAAGCACCGGCUAACUCCGUGCCAGCAGCCGCGGUAAUACGGAGGGUGCAAGCGUUAAUCGGAAUUACUGGGCGUAAAGCGCACGCAGGCGGUCUGUCAAGUCGGAUGUGAAAUCCCCGGGCUCAACCUGGGAACUGAAUUCGAAAUUGGAGGGCUAGAGUCUUGAAGGGGGGGGAGGAAUUCCGGGGGAGCGGGUGAAAUGCGUAGAGACCUGGAGAAUUACAGGAGGGGAGGGGGCCCCCCUGAAAAAAGAAUGCGGCUAAGGGGCGAAAGCGUGGGAGCAAACAGG
RNAcentral lists this ribosomal RNA (428 nucleotides) under Chloroflexota bacterium. RNAcentral describes it as "Chloroflexi bacterium partial 16S ribosomal RNA". It matches the Rfam family "Bacterial small subunit ribosomal RNA", at positions 355 to 776 of the family's 1533-position model. The record is from RNAcentral. Lineage: Bacteria; Bacillati; Chloroflexota.